Molecule: long non-coding RNA, 1151 nt
Organism: Exaiptasia diaphana
Lineage: Eukaryota; Metazoa; Cnidaria; Anthozoa; Actiniaria; Aiptasiidae
Exons: 3
Source: RefSeq, a predicted model, not a curated record
AAAAACUUAAAAGUUUCCUGUGAUGAGCGCUAAAAAGGGUGACAAACAACUUCUGAUGGUCGAAAAUAAUCAGAGUUUCACUCCAUAACAUGAAAUAGUGUUGACAGGAUUUUGACUAUGCAAAAAGAAAACGUGGGAAGAAUUAAAACGAGAUAACGAAGAAAGGUUAACUUUGAAGUGCAUCAAUGAAAAUAAUCAGUUCUGCUGAUUAUACGUACUAAAAUACAGAAGAAAGAGCUGAGAAAAGGAAAAAAAUAGCUGUCAGGAAAGGGAAAAAGUAGGGAAACAUAAAAGUUAGGAGAGAAGAGUGAAAAAGMAYAACAAGACGAAGAAGUGAAGAAAAAAGAGAAGACAUCAAAGCAAUGCAAAUGAYUUUUCGUGUUGCGAGCGUUCAAAAAGAAGGUGACAAACAACGAGUGAUGCCCCAAUAUAAAUCAUUAACCCAAAGAGUCUCAAUCCAAAACACUUCAAAGUGUUGACUGAAACUUCAUGAAAAAGAAAACCGAGGAAGAAAAGAAAUAGGAAAGAGAAAAAGGAAGRGGAACACAAGAAAUUAGAAGAUAAAAACAAGGAAAAAAAAGGAGGUUGAAGUGAAAGGCAAGCAAGAAAAGAGACGCACUUAACCACAACAAGACAGCCUACAGAUAUGUCUUAACAWCCUUGCCAAACGCCUUUUUUGACCGAAAAAAAAUGUUUGUAAGUACAAUUUGAUUCUAUUUAAUCAACCAUUGUUAAAUUUGACAUUUAUUUACUACUUUCAAAAAACAUAGAAUUUUGAUUUGUAAAAGAUGAUUUCGAUUCUAAAACUGAAGACGAAAAGACGUGAUUCCCAGCCUUGUUGGUGUACCAAAAAGUCGAAAUUUGGGCAUUCCUAUUUUUCAUGGAUCGAUUUUGCCCAAGUAUCGCGCUUGAUGUGAAAUCUUUUUAACUCUAAGAUAGAGUUAUAUUACAAGCUGUUGUAAUGGAGUACAUUUGGUGUUUUACUUUUGCGAUCUCGGAAACUUGUAAUUUUUAGAAGCAUCGUUCCUGCAGCAACGAUAAUCCCUAAAGAGAACGUUAAAGGGUUACACAACCUAACAAUAGCUCGAAACGCGGCUGAACUUUGAUUGCGCUCUAGCGAAAAAACAAGAUGCUGCCUAAUUUUUUUUCUG